GACGAACGCUGGCGGCGUGCCUAAUACAUGCAAGUCGUGCGAACAGACCAUUUGCUUGCUCCUCUGAUGUUAGCCGCGUACGUGACAGUUACAUGUGGUUAACCCACCUUUAAGAUAGGGAUAACUUCGUGAUACCGGUGCUAAUUCCGGAUUAUUUCUUCAUCCGCAUGGUUCAAUAGUUAAAGCCGUUUUUGCUGUCCUUUAUAGCUGUCUCCGUGCCGCUUUAGUUAGUUGGUAAGGUAACGGCUUACCAAGGCCACGCUGCGUAGCCGACCUGACAGGGUGAACGGCGACACUGGAGCUGAGACACGGUACAGAGACCUACAGAAGGCAGAAGUAGGGAAUCGUCGGAGAUGGGGGAAAGACUGACGGAGCAACGCCGGGUGAGUGAUGAAAGUCUGCGGAUCGUAAAACUGUGUUAGUAGGGAAGAACAAAUGUGGAAGUAACUAUGCACGUCUUGACGGUACCUAAUCAGAAAGCCACGGCUAACUACGUG
Molecule: ribosomal RNA, 497 nt
Filed under: uncultured bacterium
Lineage: Bacteria
Description: partial 16S ribosomal RNA
Rfam family: Bacterial small subunit ribosomal RNA
Source: RNAcentral